AUUGAACGCUGGCGGCAUGCCUUACACAUGCAAGUCGAACGGCAGCACGGGAGCAAUCCUGGUGGCGAGUGGCGAAUGGGUGAGUAAUAUAUCGGAACGUGCCCAGUCGUGGGGGAUAACGUAGCGAAAGCUACGCUAAUACCGCAUACGAUCUAUGGAUGAAAGCGGGGGAUCGCAAGACCUCGCGCGAUUGGAGCGGCCGAUAUCAGAUUAGGUAGUUGGUGAGGUAAAGGCUCACCAAGCCGACGAUCUGUAGCUGGUCUGAGAGGACGACCAGCCACACUGGGACUGAGACACGGCCCAGACUCCUACGGGAGGCAGCAGUGGGGAAUUUUUGGACAAUGGGCGCAAGCCUGAUCCAGCAAUGCCGCGUGCAGGAUGAAGGCCUUCGGUUGGUAACUUA
Molecule: ribosomal RNA, 403 nt
Filed under: uncultured bacterium
Lineage: Bacteria
Description: bacterial SSU rRNA
Rfam family: Bacterial small subunit ribosomal RNA
Source: RNAcentral